This is a long non-coding RNA of Seriola aureovittata, 3043 nucleotides long. RefSeq lists it as uncharacterized. NCBI's taxonomy places the organism in Eukaryota, Metazoa, Chordata, Actinopteri, Carangiformes, Carangidae. The transcript is spliced from 2 exons. The record is from RefSeq and is a predicted model, not a curated record.
CUCAUCCCCCCUUUCUGUUUCCCCCAACGGUACACAUAUCCUAUCCUUGCCUCUGCUCGCUCGCAAAACCUUUUUUUUUCCCCCUUUCUUUUCCCGUCUCUGUGUCGCGUAAAAAUAUCCACGACUGACUUGUAAUUCCUGCUGCUUUUUCUGACUUCUAUGCAGCUCCAAUCCGUCCGAAAAGUAGUCGCUGUUUUAUCAUAUUUAUGGGCACUUUCGUCUUGUAGUCUUUACACCUAAACGUCAAGAUAACAGCCGCAUCUCCGUUUUCUUUUCUUUUUUUCUUCCUUUCUUUUUUUGCCGAUCAGAUUCAUUUUUGGUGAGAUUAGUAACAAUGAAGUUACAGGCAGAAAUAAAGCAGAUUUUUGAAAAAAAAGGCCCAUUCAGCUUAGACUGACUGCCUUAUUUGCAAGCCUCGUUUGUGUUUUCCUCCGAGAGUACAGCCUAUUCUAUUUUGGGGUAUGUGGAAGAGAUCUUGUUUAGUUUAACUUCAAAAUAUCCUACAAAUGUGAACUGGCUAAGUGGUUACUAAACGCAUGCAGUGACCUAUAGGUUUCGACUGGACCAUACUUUAGUUUCCGGCAAUAACUUUGGUAUGAUUAUGUCUGCUUAAGGUCAGACUAAUAGGGCAAUGUUUUGUUUUCAUUCCGGUCAGCAUUUCUCGGGGAAAAAUGUUCUCUUGAGCGUCUGAUACGGUGGCCAAGUAGUUCGAGGCAGCAGAUGCAGCCUAUCUAUGUCUUCCCCUCAACCACAUGUCUGUUCUCUGACACGCAGCUCACACUCUCAGCCUGUCCGUGUACGAGGUCCUGCUGAUCCGCUCUUGUCAUGAAGGAGACCCGGGGAUCCGUUUUUCUCAACACACCACAUUCACAUAACACACUCACACACACACUACGCUCGCAAACACAAACCCCUCAUGCACGCACGCACAAAUACACACUCACUCACUCUCUCACACACACACACACACACACACACACACACACACACACACAAACACACACACACACUCACACACCUCGAUCGAUUUGCAUGUGACUUCGUCAGGGAAUGAGCGAGAAUCGACCUAAAAACAACGCUUCAAAGAGGCAAACGUCCAUGAAAAAUAAAAAAGAAAAGAUGGACAAAGUGGGGUAAAGAGGAAAGUGUAGCUAGAGGAACUAAGGCAGGGCGGAGGGAUUGCACAUUUCAGAGAGAGACGUAUUGGAGAAGAACAAAAAUGUGUUUAUCCAGAGGAGGAUUUUAUAACCAUACGACGGUGCUGAAAACCCCUGGAUGUCGCAAGUGUCAAAUCUGUCAAAAUUAGAAAGCGAGAGAUGUUCCCUUUCGCCGGACGCACACGGACCCACAGGCUGGACUUGGAGCUCCUUUUCUGGGCUGCGCUCAUGUGGAGCUGCCGCUGCCCUUCGUCCGCUCAACACAGCCCCUUUCUUAUUGCCUCUGUGCCUCAAAACACGUUUCUCGACAACCAUAAGCCCUCCAUACCUUUUCCCGAUCCCACCGAAAUGCACAUAUUUGUUUUAAAACCGUGUUUUUCUACGAUCAACUGCUUUGGAGAGGAUCGCUGUCUUGCCCAUUUCUUAUCUUCCAUUCAUGAGGAGGAGAGAGGACGAACGCUGAUGUAAACACAGAAACCGUUGGGUCUGCGCUGUUUAACACUACAUCACAGCACAUAUGAGAGGCUGGUGUCCGGCUCUCCAUGUGUCUAGGGUGGAUAGGGCAGCGCAGCCAGGUGCAAUGGGAGCGCCCUCUUAUGUUCAGCCUGACCACUGGGAUCAAGCAGCGCAUCAACUCUUUACAGGAGCCAAGCGCCUGCGGACCAGCUGGUCUUUGCAAAAGCGCACCUUUGCCUUUCUCUCUAACAUUAUAUAUUAGACUGCUUCCCGUGUAAAUGAUGUACAUCCACAUGGUCGGCUUAUUGCGUGGUCAAAAGUAAGAUAGAGCCUCCACGGCGGAAAUCACAAACAUUUCACAUACAGAUUUCACCAAAAAAACCGUCUGUUAAUGACAUAGCACACUGUCCGAAAGUGACAUAAUUUUUAAACAGCCACUAAACAAGAAGCAAAAGCCCAACGCAGAUCAAACUUGAACUUCGCCUAAUUAGCGGAGCAUCCUGCAGAAAUCAGCACAGUUCACACACAAAUCUACAUUAUUACACUAAAAGUUUGUGUGUAUUUAAUUAAAAAUGAACUUUUUUGUUGUCGUCAUAAUUUGUCUGUGACUGUGGGAGCUGCAUGUUUUACACUUUGGAUGAUUUCCAUUAAAGCAUAUGUUCCUGCUGGACAGGGAAUACAUCGUUUUGCAAACCUUUACUUAAAUGCAUUUUAUUUCUUCGACUAUAUUUUCUAAAGGAGUAUUUGCAAAUAUACCGGUAUUAUAUCCUUCUGUGGCCUCUUCGUUUCUCUUCUUUUUUAUCCCUGUGUCAUGUUUGGCACACAGAGAAUGUUCUUGAAGUGGAUACAACUCAGUGUGGUGAUUUUGUGUGUGUGUGUGUGUGUGUGUGUGUGUGUGUGUGUGUGUGUGUGUGUGUGUGUGUGUGUAGCCUUCUGUAUGAAAUUCAAGUGCAAUGUUUGCUAUUGUCAUUGUUGUUAUUUUACGUAGUCUUGUCUGUAUUACAGCAUGUAUUAUAUCAGAUCACUUAGGCUAUUCAUCAUUCAACUGGUUUUAACUUAAUCAGAGAUGCAGAAAUGUUUCCCCACAGUGGAAAUCUGCCCUAAUGAUUUACAUGACUUAAACCUGUACUGUUCAUAUUGGUGGAUAUAUUUAUCUAAACGUUUUUAAAAUGCUAUCAUGUUAAACGCAUGUGUGUUGAAUGAGUUUUUUUUGUUGUUGUUUGUUUGUUUGUUUGUUAUUUAUUGUUCCAGAUGUUCUGUUUGUAUCAUUAUGGGAAUGUUUUGCCUACUGUUUUUCCACCUACUUGAUGUUACGACUGUCUGUUUGUAGCUAGUAUGUUUUUUAUUUAUUUUUGUUGGUAUUUUAUUUUUGUUUGUUGAUCUAAAUAAAUUGAAUAAAAUAUUUAUAUUAAAAUACUCCUGGACAAAAA